UUGUUGUUGACUGCCCCUCUGCCUACAACAUCAUCCUUGGCCGCACUGCCCUAAAUGCUUUCCAAGCUAUCACAUCCACUUACCACCUUGCCAUCAAGUUCUCCACCGAUCUUGGGGUCGGAACAGUGAGGGGAGAGCAGACCGUGGCCAGAGAAUGUUAUGUCACCUCACUUAAAGAAGUCAAGUUGAAGGAGGUUAUGAUCAUUGAACGACUCGAUGUCAGAGAUGAGGACGAGCUGGUCAGAGGAGAACCAGUGGAGGAGCUCGUCAAGGUCCUCGUCGACCCUACCAACCCGGCCAAAACUGCCAAGAUCGGCAGCCAAUUAUCCCCCCAAGCCAAGGCCGACCUCACCGCCCUCCUAGUUGAACACAACGACGUGUUUGCCUGGACUCACUUCGA
This 400-nucleotide unclassified non-coding RNA is filed under the name uncultured bacterium. RNAcentral's name for it is "contains 16S-23S intergenic spacer region". The record is from RNAcentral.